CGAGCGGUAGAGAGAAGCUUGCUUCUCUUGAGAGCGGCGGACGGGUGAGUAAUGCCUAGGAAUCUGCCUGGUAGUGGGGGAUAACGUUCGGAAACGAACGCUAAUACCGCAUACGUCCUACGGGAGAAAGCAGGGGACCUUCGGGCCUUGCGCUAUCAGAUGAGCCUAGGUCGGAUUAGCUAGUUGGUGAGGUAAUGGCUCACCAAGGCGACGAUCCGUAACUGGUCUGAGAGGAUGAUCAGUCACACUGGAACUGAGACACGGUCCAGACUCCUACGGGAGGCAGCAGUGGGGAAUAUUGGACAAUGGGCGAAAGCCUGAUCCAGCCAUGCCGCGUGUGUGAARAARGUCUUNYGGAUUGUAAAGCACUUUAAGUUGGGAGGAAGGGCAUUAACCUAAUACGUUAGUGUUUUGACGUUACCGACAGAAUAAGCACCGGCUAACUCUGUGCCAGCAGCCGCGGUAAUACAGAGGGUGCAAGCGUUAAUCGGAAUUACUGGGCGUAAAGCGCGCGUAGGUGGUUUGUUAAGUUGGAUGUGAAAUCCCCGGGCUCAACCUGGGAACUGCAUUCAAAACUGACUGACUAGAGUAUGGUAGAGGGUGGUGGAAUUUCCUGUGUAGCGGUGAAAUGCGUAGAUAUAGGAAGGAACACCAGUGGCGAAGGCGACCACCUGGACUAAUACUGACACUGAGGUGCGAAAGCGUGGGNGAGCAAACAGGAUUAGAUACCCUGGUAGUCCACGCCGUAAACGAUGUCAACUAGCCGUUGGAAGCCUUGAGCUUUUAGUGGCGCAGCUAACGCAUUAAGUUGACCGCCUGGGGAGUACGGCCGCAAGGUUAAAACUCAAAUGAAUUGACGGGGGCCCGCACAAGCGGUGGAGCAUGUGGUUUAAUUCGAAGCAACGCGAARAACCUUACCAGGCCUUGACAUCCAAUGAACUUUCUAGAGAUAGAUUGGUGCCUUCGGGAACAUUGAGACAGGUGCUGCAUGGCUGUCGUCAGCUCGUGUCGUGAGAUGUUGGGUUAAGUCCCGUAACGAGCGCAACCCUUGUCCUUAGUUACCAGCACGUAAUGGUGGGCACUCUAAGGAGACUGCCGGUGACAAACCGGAGGAAGGUGGGGAUGACGUCAAGUCAUCAUGGCCCUUACGGCCUGGGCUACACACGUGCUACAAUGGUCGGUACAGAGGGUUGCCAAGCCGCGAGGUGGAGCUAAUCCCAUAAAACCGAUCGUAGUCCGGAUCGCAGUCUGCAACUCGACUGCGUGAAGUCGGAAUCGCUAGUAAUCGCGAAUCAGAA
This 1298-nucleotide ribosomal RNA is filed under the name Pseudomonas sp. Its description in RNAcentral is "bacterial SSU rRNA". It matches the Rfam family "Bacterial small subunit ribosomal RNA", at positions 63 to 1354 of the family's 1533-position model. Lineage: Bacteria; Pseudomonadati; Pseudomonadota; Gammaproteobacteria; Pseudomonadales; Pseudomonadaceae. The record is from RNAcentral.